GAUGAACGCUGGCGGCGUGCCUAAUACAUGCAAGUCGAGCGAACGGACGAGAAGCUUGCUUCUCUGAUGUUAGCGGCGGACGGGUGAGUAACACGUGGAUAACCUACCUAUAAGACUGGGAUAACUUCGGGAAACCGGAGCUAAUACCGGAUAAUAUUUUGAACCGCAUGGUUCAAAAGUGAAAGACGGUCUUGCUGUAACUUAUAGAUGGAUCCGCGCUGCAUUAGCUAGUUGGUAAGGUAACGGCUUACCAAGGCAACGAUGCAUAGCCGACCUGAGAGGGUGAUCGGCCACACUGGAACUGAGACUCGGUCCAGACUCCUACGGGAGGCAGCAGUAGGGAAUCUUCCGCAAUGGGCGAAAGCCUGACGGAGCAACGCCGCGUGAGUGAUGAUGGUCUUCGGAUCGUAAAACUCUGUUAUUAGGGAAGAACAUAUGUGUAAGUAACUGUGCACAUCUUGACGGUACCUAAUCAGAAAGCCACGGCUAACUACGUG
This 497-nucleotide ribosomal RNA is filed under the name uncultured bacterium. RNAcentral describes it as "partial 16S ribosomal RNA". It matches the Rfam family "Bacterial small subunit ribosomal RNA", at positions 28 to 507 of the family's 1533-position model. The record is from RNAcentral.